This 1540-nucleotide ribosomal RNA is filed under the name Klebsiella pneumoniae. RNAcentral's name for it is "bacterial SSU rRNA". It matches the Rfam family "Bacterial small subunit ribosomal RNA". Lineage: Bacteria; Pseudomonadati; Pseudomonadota; Gammaproteobacteria; Enterobacterales; Enterobacteriaceae. The record is from RNAcentral.
AAAUUGAAGAGUUUGAUCAUGGCUCAGAUUGAACGCUGGCGGCAGGCCUAACACAUGCAAGUCGAGCGGUAGCACAGAGAGCUUGCUCUCGGGUGACGAGCGGCGGACGGGUGAGUAAUGUCUGGGAAACUGCCUGAUGGAGGGGGAUAACUACUGGAAACGGUAGCUAAUACCGCAUAACGUCGCAAGACCAAAGUGGGGGACCUUCGGGCCUCAUGCCAUCAGAUGUGCCCAGAUGGGAUUAGCUAGUAGGUGGGGUAACGGCUCACCUAGGCGACGAUCCCUAGCUGGUCUGAGAGGAUGACCAGCCACACUGGAACUGAGACACGGUCCAGACUCCUACGGGAGGCAGCAGUGGGGAAUAUUGCACAAUGGGCGCAAGCCUGAUGCAGCCAUGCCGCGUGUGUGAAGAAGGCCUUCGGGUUGUAAAGCACUUUCAGCGGGGAGGAAGGCGGUGAGGUUAAUAACCUCAUCGAUUGACGUUACCCGCAGAAGAAGCACCGGCUAACUCCGUGCCAGCAGCCGCGGUAAUACGGAGGGUGCAAGCGUUAAUCGGAAUUACUGGGCGUAAAGCGCACGCAGGCGGUCUGUCAAGUCGGAUGUGAAAUCCCCGGGCUCAACCUGGGAACUGCAUUCGAAACUGGCAGGCUAGAGUCUUGUAGAGGGGGGUAGAAUUCCAGGUGUAGCGGUGAAAUGCGUAGAGAUCUGGAGGAAUACCGGUGGCGAAGGCGGCCCCCUGGACAAAGACUGACGCUCAGGUGCGAAAGCGUGGGGAGCAAACAGGAUUAGAUACCCUGGUAGUCCACGCCGUAAACGAUGUCGAUUUGGAGGUUGUGCCCUUGAGGCGUGGCUUCCGGAGCUAACGCGUUAAAUCGACCGCCUGGGGAGUACGGCCGCAAGGUUAAAACUCAAAUGAAUUGACGGGGGCCCGCACAAGCGGUGGAGCAUGUGGUUUAAUUCGAUGCAACGCGAAGAACCUUACCUGGUCUUGACAUCCACAGAACUUAGCAGAGAUGCUUUGGUGCCUUCGGGAACUGUGAGACAGGUGCUGCAUGGCUGUCGUCAGCUCGUGUUGUGAAAUGUUGGGUUAAGUCCCGCAACGAGCGCAACCCUUAUCCUUUGUUGCCAGCGGUUCGGCCGGGAACUCAAAGGAGACUGCCAGUGAUAAACUGGAGGAAGGUGGGGAUGACGUCAAGUCAUCAUGGCCCUUACGACCAGGGCUACACACGUGCUACAAUGGCAUAUACAAAGAGAAGCGACCUCGCGAGAGCAAGCGGACCUCAUAAAGUAUGUCGUAGUCCGGAUUGGAGUCUGCAACUCGACUCCAUGAAGUCGGAAUCGCUAGUAAUCGUAGAUCAGAAUGCUACGGUGAAUACGUUCCCGGGCCUUGUACACACCGCCCGUCACACCAUGGGAGUGGGUUGCAAAAGAAGUAGGUAGCUUAACCUUCGGGAGGGCGCUUACCACUUUGUGAUUCAUGACUGGGGUGAAGUCGUAACAAGGUAACCGUAGGGGAACCUGCGGUUGGAUCACCUCCUUA